GAUGAACGCUAGCUACAGGCUUAACACAUGCAAGUCGAGGGGCAGCAUGACGAGUGCUUGCACUUGUUGAUGGCGACCGGCGCACGGGUGCGUAACGCGUAUCGAACCUUCCCCUUACUCGGGAAUAGCCCGGUGAAAACCGAAUUAAUGCCCGAUAUAUAUUUAGAUGGCAUCAGAAGAGUAUGAAAGAUUUAUCGGUAAGGGAUGGCGAUGCGUAGGAUUAGGUAGUCGGCGGGGUAACGGCCCACCGAGCCAACGAUCCUUAGGGGUUCUGAGAGGAAGGUCCCCCACAUUGGAACUGAGACACGGUCCAAACUCCUACGGGAGGCAGCAGUGAGGAAUAUUGGUCAAUGGACGAGAGUCUGAACCAGCCAAGUAGCGUGCAGGAAGACGGCCCUAUGGGUUGUAAACUGCUUUUAUAGGGGAAUAAAGUGAGCCACGUGUGGUUUUUUGUAUGUACCCUAUGAAUAAGGACCGGCUAAUUCC
This 486-nucleotide ribosomal RNA is filed under the name uncultured bacterium. RNAcentral's name for it is "bacterial SSU rRNA". It matches the Rfam family "Bacterial small subunit ribosomal RNA", at positions 28 to 504 of the family's 1533-position model. The record is from RNAcentral.